RNAcentral lists this transfer RNA (64 nucleotides) under Phyllotreta hemipoda. RNAcentral's name for it is "tRNA-His". Lineage: Eukaryota; Metazoa; Arthropoda; Insecta; Coleoptera; Chrysomelidae. The record is from RNAcentral.
AUUUAAAUAGUUUAAUAAAAAAUAUUGAUUUGUGGUGUCAAAGAUAUACAAAAUAUUUUAAAUA